RNAcentral lists this ribosomal RNA (505 nucleotides) under uncultured bacterium. RNAcentral describes it as "partial 16S ribosomal RNA". It matches the Rfam family "Bacterial small subunit ribosomal RNA", at positions 28 to 507 of the family's 1533-position model. The record is from RNAcentral.
GACGAACGCUGGCGGCGUGCCUAAUACAUGCAAGUAGAACGCACAGUUUAUACCGUAGCUUGCUACACCAUAAACUGUGAGUUGCGAACGGGUGAGUAACGCGUAGGUAACCUGCCUGGUAGCGGGGGAUAACUAUUGGAAACGAUAGCUAAUACCGCAUAAUAUUGAUUAUUGCAUGAUAAUUGAUUGAAAGAUGCUAUUGCAUCACUACCAGAUGGACCUGCGUUGUAUUAGCUAGUAGGUGAGGUAACGGCUCACCUAGGCGACGAUACAUAGCCGAACUGAGAGGGUGAUCGGCCACACUGGGACUGAGACACGGCCCAGACUCCUACGGGAGGCAGCAGUAGGGAAUCUUCGGCAAUGGACGAAAGUCUGACCGAGCAACGCCGCGUGAGUGAAGAAGGUUUUCGGAUCGUAAAGCUCUGUUGUAAGAGAAGAACGGGUGUGAGAGUGGAAAGUUCACACUGUGACGGUAUCUUACCAGAAAGGGACGGCUAACUACGUG